UACGGAGGGUGCAAGCGUUGUCCGGAUUUAUUGGGCGUAAAGGGCGCGUAGGCGGUCUUGUAAGUCAGCUGUGAAAGCCCGGGGCUCAACCCCGGAGGGUCGGCUGAUACUGCAGGACUGGAGUACGGAAGAGGUAGCUGGAAUUCCCGGUGUAGCGGUGAAAUGCGUAGAUAUCAGGAGGAACACCGAUGGCGAAGGCAGGUCGCUGGGACAUAACUGACGCUGAGAAGCGAAAGCAUGGGGAGCGAACAGG
Molecule: ribosomal RNA, 253 nt
Filed under: uncultured bacterium
Lineage: Bacteria
Description: partial 16S ribosomal RNA
Rfam family: Bacterial small subunit ribosomal RNA
Source: RNAcentral